This 86-nucleotide transfer RNA is filed under the name Planctomycetota bacterium. RNAcentral's name for it is "Planctomycetes bacterium (groundwater metagenome) tRNA-Leu". It matches the Rfam family "tRNA". Rfam says of the family: Transfer RNA (tRNA) molecules are approximately 80 nucleotides in length. Their secondary structure includes four short double-helical elements and three loops (D, anti-codon, and T loops). Further hydrogen bonds mediate the characteristic L-shaped molecular structure. tRNAs have two regions of fundamental functional importance: the anti-codon, which is responsible for specific mRNA codon recognition, and the 3' end, to which the tRNAs corresponding amino acid is attached (by aminoacyl-tRNA synthetases). tRNAs cope with the degeneracy of the genetic code in two manners: having more than one tRNA (with a specific anti-codon) for a particular amino acid; and 'wobble' base-pairing, i.e. permitting non-standard base-pairing at the 3rd anti-codon position. The record is from RNAcentral. Lineage: Bacteria; Pseudomonadati; Planctomycetota.
GGGCGAGUGGCGGAACUGGCAUUCGCGAAGGAUUUAAAAUCCUUUGGCUCGUAAGGGCCGUGAGGGUUCAACUCCCUCCUCGCCCA